Molecule: ribosomal RNA, 253 nt
Filed under: uncultured bacterium
Lineage: Bacteria
Description: partial 16S ribosomal RNA
Rfam family: Bacterial small subunit ribosomal RNA
Source: RNAcentral
UACGGGGGGGGCAAGCGUUGUUCGGAAUUACUGGGCGUAAAGCGCACGUAGGCGGACAUUUAAGUCAGGGGUGAAAUCCCGGGGCUCAACCCCGGAACUGCCUUUGAUACUGGGUGUCUUGAGUCCGGAAGAGGUGAGUGGAAUUGCGAGUGUAGAGGUGAAAUUCGUAGAUAUUCGCAGGAACACCAGUGGCGAAGGCGGCUCACUGGUCCGGUACUGACGCUGAGGUGCGAAAGCGUGGGGAGCAAACAGG